This 502-nucleotide ribosomal RNA is filed under the name uncultured bacterium. RNAcentral describes it as "partial 16S ribosomal RNA". It matches the Rfam family "Bacterial small subunit ribosomal RNA", at positions 29 to 507 of the family's 1533-position model. The record is from RNAcentral.
ACGCACGCUGGCGGCGUGCCUAACACCUGCAAGUCGAACGAGAAAGGGGCUUCGGCUCCGAGUAAAGUGGCGCACGGGUGAGUAACACGUGGGUAACCUGCCUCUAAGAUUGGGAUAACUCGUCGAAAGAUGAGCUAAUACCGAAUAAGACCACAGUUCCCGCGGGAACAGGGGUCAAAGGUAGCCUCUGCUUGCAAGCUAUCACUUAGAGAUGGGCCUGCGCACCAUUAGCUAGUUGGUAGGGUAACGGCCUACCAAGGCAAAGAUGGUUAGCUGGUCUGAGAGGAUGAUCAGCCACACUGGAACUGAGACACGGUCCAGACUCCUACGGGAGGCAGCAGUGGGGAAUAUUGCGCAAUGGGCGAAAGCUUGACGCAGCAACGCCGCGUGAGUGAUGAAGGCCGUCGGGCCGUAAAGCUCUGUCGGGAGGAACGAAUGCUCCUGAGGUUAACAGCCUCGGGAGGUGACGGUACCUUCAAAGGAAGCACCGGCUAACUCUGUG